Molecule: ribosomal RNA, 673 nt
Filed under: uncultured equine intestinal eubacterium sp. ML11
Lineage: Bacteria
Description: bacterial SSU rRNA
Rfam family: Bacterial small subunit ribosomal RNA
Source: RNAcentral
GCACCGUAAACGAUGGAUGCUCGUCAUCGGCGAUACACUGUCGGUGACCAAGGGAAACCAUUAAGCAUCCCACCUGGGGAGUACGCCGGCAACGGUGAAACUCAAAGGAAUUGACGGGGGCCCGCACAAGCGGAGGAACAUGUGGUUUAAUUCGAUGAUACGCGAGGAACCUUACCCGGGCUUGAACUGUGAGAGACGGUUGCAGAGAUGCUUCUUCCCUUCGGGGCUCUCACGGAGGUGCUGCAUGGUUGUCGUCAGCUCGUGCCGUGAGGUGUCGGCUUAAGUGCCAUAACGAGCGCAACCCUUGCCUUCAGUUGCCAUCAGGUAGAGCUGGGCACUCUGGAGGGACUGCCAUCGCAAGAUGCGAGGAAGGUGGGGAUGACGUCAAAUCAGCACGGCCCUUACGUCCGGGGCUACACACGUGUUACAAUGGGGGGUACAGAAGGCCGCCAGGCGGCGACGCCGCGCCAAUCCCUAAAUCCCCUCUCAGUUCGGACUGGAGUCUGCAACCCGACUCCACGAAGCUGGAUUCGCUAGUAAUCGCGCAUCAGCCAUGGCGCGGUGAAUACGUUCCCGGGCCUUGUACACACCGCCCGUCAAGCCAUGAAAGCCGGGGGCGCNUNAAGUCCGUUACCGCGAGGAUCGGCCUAGGGCGAAACUGGUGAUUGGGGCU